RNAcentral lists this long non-coding RNA (1582 nucleotides) under Amborella trichopoda. RNAcentral's name for it is "long non-coding RNA (ATRI_LNC002586)". The record is from RNAcentral. Lineage: Eukaryota; Viridiplantae; Streptophyta; Magnoliopsida; Amborellales; Amborellaceae.
UUAUACUGAUGCAUAUUACAAUACAAUACAUUAGUUAUCUGUUAUAUAUACAGUUAUUAGUGUGUAAAAAAUACUUUGCUGUGUGUGUGCGUGAUGUCUGUAUAUAUAUGAUGUGUUUACUGAUAUGUGUGUAUGUGUAAAGUGCAUAACUGUAUAUAAAUAAUGCAUUAAUAUAUGCAUUUCUAUAUACAUUGAAGUAUAUAACUAUAUAUGCACUUAUUAUCAAUUUAUACAGUUAUUAACGUAUAUGUCCAUUGAUUUAUAUACCACACACACACUCACACAAUCGUUAAACACUCACUCACACAUACAAACACACACACACUCACAGAUAUAUAUACUACACAUAUGUGCGUGUUAUGUAUGGCUUGAUGUCUGUAUAUAUACGUUAUAUAUAUACUCGUAUGCACAGUUACUUGCUAUCAGUCAUAUACAAUUAUCAAUGUAUAUAUACACUGCAAUGCGCACGCACAUUGAUACGUACAUGUAUAUUAUCUGAUGAGUAUAAAAUACGUGUAUUAAUUAAUGUAUACAUACACAAUAUAUAUGCACUUAUCAACUCGUUAGGGUGCAUGUGUAUACCCAUAUCAGUGUAUAUAUACAUUGAUAAUUGUAUCUAACUGAUAGCAAGCUACUAUAUAAACAAAUAAUAAGUGUAUAUAUAUGGUCAUAAACAUUAAUGUAUAAAAAAAUGUAUAUAUUAGUACACUGUAUAUAUAUAAAUAUGCACUUUACACAAACACACAUACGUUAUAUAUACAAACAUCACACACACACGUAUCAAUGUAGUUUUUAUUCGAGAGACCAUGAUGUCCAGUUUUUGGGUGCUGGAUUGGGUGCAUCGGUUAGACCGAGGAUUAUUUACCAGCGAACAAGUGCACUCUUUCUCCAGAUAUGGAUACCUGGUUCUGAAAGCGGCUAUAUUGUGUGUAUUCGAAUUUUGAAAACCCUCAUUAGUGCUUCUCUUUCUUCCUCAUGGGUGGCCUUAAAUGAAAAAGAGGGUAUAUAUCACUGAUUAUCAGUUUAUACAAUUAAUAAUGUAUAUGUAUAUGGAUUUAUAUACUACACACACACAAACACACACACACACACAUACAUAUAUAUAUAUGUAUAUAUAUAUAUGCUACACAUAUAUGCGUGUUGUGUAUGGUUUGGUGUGUGUAUAUAUACGAUAUGUUUAUGCGUGUCUGUAUACACUUGCUUACUAUCAAUUAUAUACAAUUAUCAAUGUAGAUUUACAUUGAUAAGCGUAUGUACAUACACCUUUACGCGUUGAUAAGUGCAUAUAUACAAUGUAUGUAUAAACUAAUAUAUGCAUUUUAUAUACAUAGAUAUAUAUAAUCAUAGAGACACUUAUUAGUAGUAUAUAUAUAUACAGUGUGUAUAUAUAAUAUAUGUAUAUACUGAUUUGUUUAUGUGUAUAUAUAAACAUUUGUUAUAAGUUAUAUACACUGAUAUGUGCAGGCGCAUGCUCUCUUACGCAUUGCUAAGUUCAAACAUACAUUUCUAUAUACACUGAUAUAAAUGGCCAUAUAGAUACUUAUUAUCAAUUUAUACAGUUACUAGUGUAUAUAUACAUUAA